Long non-coding RNA from Cotesia glomerata, 579 nucleotides. RefSeq lists it as uncharacterized. The record is from RefSeq and is a predicted model, not a curated record. The transcript has 3 exons. Lineage: Eukaryota; Metazoa; Arthropoda; Insecta; Hymenoptera; Braconidae.
AAACGUCAUCACUUUGCAGUACUGAUCAAAAAAUAAAAGAUCUAUUUCCUCAUACAUGUACUGCUGUCUUUUAUGUACCACCAGUCUCUUUGAGAUCAUCAGUCACAGGAAAAUGUAUUCCUGCUAGAGGAAAGUUAACUGAUAAAAUAAAAAUAAAUUAAAACCGAGGAAAGCAUAAUUUAAAAAGGAAGAGUGCAGAAUUAAGAAAUACUAAUGAAAAGAAACAGAAAUUGGAACAGUUAAGAAUUGAGCACGAGGAGAGUUUGAAUUGGUUAAAUCGUAAUCGGUCGCCAUGGAGUGAUGUCGAAGCCAAAUGGAAAACUACAUUUGAAAUAAGGAGAGCGUCCCCUUAUUCAACUGUUGAUGAAUUUUUAAAGGACUGGACUAUAUUCAAUGAUUCUAGAAGUACUGCUCUGAUUUUAAUAGAUUUUGAAACUAUGUACCCAGAAAAAGAAGUGAAUUUUUUGAAUAAUUGAGUAGCUUCUUUUCAACAAUGAAAGUACUCCGCAGUGAUAAAUACGAAAAGAUAGUACUAUUGCAGAAUAUAAACAGAUUUUAAAUAAUAUUGAUGAUGAAAAU